UACGAAGGGGGCUAGCGUUGCUCGGAAUCACUGGGCGUAAAGCGCACGUAGGCGGAUUGCUAAGUCAGGGGUGAAAUCCUGGAGCUCAACUCCAGAACUGCCUUUGAUACCGGCGACCUUGAGUCCGGGAGAGGUGAGUGGAACUGCGAGUGUAGAGGUGAAAUUCGUAGAUAUUCGCAAGAACACCAGUGGCGAAGGCGGCUCACUGGCCCGGUACUGACGCUGAGGUGCGAAAGCGUGGGGAGCAAACAGG
This 253-nucleotide ribosomal RNA is filed under the name uncultured bacterium. Its description in RNAcentral is "partial 16S ribosomal RNA". It matches the Rfam family "Bacterial small subunit ribosomal RNA", at positions 524 to 776 of the family's 1533-position model. The record is from RNAcentral.